UGUUCAAUACAAAGCAGAGUAUUAAAAUAAAACAUGUUGAUGCGUUAUCACGAAAACGGUUACAUCCACUAUCUCGCAGGUGGUAAGAGCUAAAAACGAGGACUUAAGAGAACUUUUAUAAAAUUGGUGAAUGGAAAAAAUCCAUAUUAUAUUUUGAUCAUCAUGG
This is a long non-coding RNA of Acyrthosiphon pisum (pea aphid), 166 nucleotides long. RefSeq lists it as uncharacterized. The transcript has 2 exons. NCBI's taxonomy places the organism in Eukaryota, Metazoa, Arthropoda, Insecta, Hemiptera, Aphididae. The record is from RefSeq and is a predicted model, not a curated record.